This 367-nucleotide ribosomal RNA is filed under the name uncultured organism. RNAcentral's name for it is "bacterial SSU rRNA". It matches the Rfam family "Bacterial small subunit ribosomal RNA", at positions 526 to 896 of the family's 1533-position model. The record is from RNAcentral.
CGGAGGAUCCAAGCGUUAUCCGGAAUCAUUGGGGUUUAAAGGGUCCGUAGGCGGUUUGAUAAGUCAGUGGUGAAAGCCCAUCGCUCAACGAUGGAACGGCCAUUGAUACUGUCAGACUUGAAUUAUUGGGAAGUAACUAGAAUAUGUAGUGUAGCGGUGAAAUGCUUAGAUAUUACAUGGAAUACCAAUUGCGAAGGCAGGUUACUAUCAAUAUAUUGACGCUGAUGGACGAAAGCGUGGGGAGCGAACAGGAUUAGAUACCCUGGUAGUCCACGCCGUAAACGAUGGAUACUAGCUGUUCGGAGCAAUCUGAGUGGCUAAGCGAAAGUGAUAAGUAUCCCACCUGGGGAGUACGUUCGCAAGAAUG